This 447-nucleotide ribosomal RNA is filed under the name uncultured bacterium. RNAcentral's name for it is "partial 16S ribosomal RNA". It matches the Rfam family "Bacterial small subunit ribosomal RNA", at positions 29 to 523 of the family's 1533-position model. The record is from RNAcentral.
AACGAACGCUGGCGGCAGGCUUAACACAUGCAAGUCGAACGCCCCGCAAGGGGAGUGGCAGACGGGGUAGUAACGCGUGGGAAUCUACCCAGAUCUUCGGAACAACUGAGGGAACCUUCAGCUAAUACCGGAUACGCCCUACGGGGGAAAGAUUUAUCGGUUCUGGAUGAGCCCGCGUUGGAUUAGCUAGUUGGUGGGGUAAUGGCCUACCAAGGCGACGAUCCAUAGCUGGUCUGAGAGGAUGAUCAGCCACACUGGGACUGAGACACGGCCCAGACUCCUACGGGAGGCAGCAGUGGGGAAUAUUGGACAAUGGGCGAAAGCCUGAUCCAGCCAUGCCGCGAGAGUGAUGAAGGCCUUAGGGUUGUAAAGCUCUUUCAGUGGGGAAGAUAAUGACGGUACCCACAGAAGAAGCCCCGGCUAACUUCGUGCCAGCAGCCGCAGUAA